This 873-nucleotide long non-coding RNA is filed under the name Mytilus galloprovincialis (Mediterranean mussel). The record is from RNAcentral. Lineage: Eukaryota; Metazoa; Mollusca; Bivalvia; Mytilida; Mytilidae.
CCUUAAUGUAGACCAAUUUGAAAACUGGACCAAAAAUUAAGAAUCUACAUACACAGUUAGAUUUGGCAUAUCAAAGAACCCAUUUAUUCAAUUUUUGAUGAAAUCAAACAAAGUUUAAUUUUGGACCCCCAUUUGGACCAACUUGAAAACUAGGCCAAUAAUUAACCAGAUGCUCCGCAGGGCGUAGCUUUAUACGACCGCAGAGGUUGAACCCUGAACGGUUGGGGCAAGUAUGGACACAACAUUCAAGCUGGAUUCAGCUCUAAAUUUGGAUUGUGAUUGAAUAGUUGACACAGCAUAGGUUUCUGACACAGAAUGAAUGUGUUCUAUUGAACUUAAAAUUUUUGUUUUCUCUUAGAGCAAUUCACUAUGCUGUUGAAUAUUAAUCCUCUCAAAACAAGAAUGUGUCCUCAGUACACGAAUGCCCCACUCGCACUAUCAUUUUCCAUGUUCAGUGGACCGUGAAAUUGGGGUAAAAACUCUAAUUUGGCAUUAAAAUUAGAAAGAUCAUAUCAUAGGGGACAUGUGUACUAAGUUUGAAGUCGAUUGGACUUAAACUUCAUCAAAAACUACCUUGACCAAAAACUUUAACCUGAAGCGGGACAGACGGACGGACGGACGGAUGAACGGACGAACGAACGGACAGACGGACGGACGGACGGACAGACGCACAGACCAGAAAACAUAAUGCCCCUCUACUAUCGUAGGUGGGGCAUAAAAAUGUUUGAAGAAAUUUUCUUUUUUAUUUAUGAAAUUUCAAAUGAGAAAAAUUGAACCCAAUUUUUUUUAAUCACAUCCCCCUUUCCCUUAUUCCAAAACUAAUCUCAAUUAAAAUUUCUAAUGGAGUUUGCAACAAUAACUACUCAUUUAAAU